Long non-coding RNA from Neodiprion fabricii, 4521 nucleotides. RefSeq lists it as uncharacterized. Lineage: Eukaryota; Metazoa; Arthropoda; Insecta; Hymenoptera; Diprionidae. The record is from RefSeq and is a predicted model, not a curated record. The transcript has 6 exons.
AUGGGUCGCCGCAUGUAGCUGGUUUUAUGAUCCAGUUCCAUCUCCGGUGCAUCGUCAUUUUCUCUACCUGUGAGGGUGUUUGGAGGACGGAGGUGAAACUGGUGUACACAUCCAUGUGACGGAGUGAACAAGCUGCCUGCAUAUAGGAAGCCAUCUGACCGCUCCUGAGGCAGUUGGCUCGUCUGUGCCCACCUAGGCCAUCUCUGAUCUAUAGCUACGUCCUUCGACACGUUCGUUACAACUACCCGCUGCAGAUGGAUAUAUGAGAGGCACCCUUAAUCGAUUUACUGCACCGGAAACAACCGUCGAACUACCUAACGUAACAAAAUAUUUGAAAAAUGGCGAGACUGACCGAAGAAACGUCGUUAUUCAGAAUAACGUGCUGGCCGAUGAUGGUUACCGGUUUGCCAAUUUAAAGAUCGGCGCGUGCUGAACUCGGUAAGAUUGAUAAACGGAAAAAAAAUACGAACACGGGAUGCCGGAGGUACUGACUUCUGUGUGUGCUGGGGUUACCGAUAAGCUGCCUAGCACCAUUUGAAAUCAGUGCCGCUCCUCCCAUCACUCUGCACUAGCCGAGGAUAAAUCGAGGCUAGUUAAGCGAUCCAGUAACAGCUGCGAUUUCACGAGGAGCGUAGUAUUGGCCGUUCGGAUCGAGUACCUGAAAGUUUGACGACCGGAAUAAGAGGAGGAUUAGGUGCUGCACAGGGACGCCUGUGUUACGUUCAUUUAUCACGGGAUAUGUGAAUUUGUACGUACAUGGAUACAUGGAUACGUAUACACUAAGCGUGUACAACAAUUAACAACGAAGAGAUUUUACAUGACUAUGCCCAUUGAAUCGAGGUGACAAAGGAGUCGGAAUAUCGUCAUUAUCAUAUUUGAAACUCACCGCUGAGACCGGUCGCCUUGUCGUUUGAUGACGUCGCGUCGAACACGGCCGCGUAUUCUUCGAGGCCCAGGGACCGUUUAAAGUGUUCGUCGAUCGCCGGGUCGCAGACAACGCCGCUGCUCCUGACCCCGGUUCGCUGGGUCCCCGUUGCAGCGGAUGCAGUGGCCGUGCAGGCCGCUACCGCCGUGUCCUCGACGGUCGUUCCUAAUUUCAAUCGUAAACAAUUUAACAACAGGGUGACAACAGUUGUUGAAACAGAUUCGAUCUGGACCAAUGAGAUCUCUAACCCUGCUGGUAAUAAUAAUGAAGCAAGUAGAAUUGGCGUUACUUUGCACGAAACUCAAAGGUAAUAUGAUUAACGAUCCGUCAUCGGCUGUUUUUCGCUUCGAUUAACGAUCAACUAAUAAUAAUAAUAAUAAUAAUAAUAUUAAUGAGGAUAAUUUGAAAAAAAUAUAUCCGUCUUUAUUGUAUUACAAUAAUACUGUCUUCCUACUUGAUUAAAUUCACCUGGUUGCGGUGUCGUUGGCACGAUUACACUCGGCCUCGCAUGGUGAUGUACCCUGGCAGCUGACAUGUCAAGAGCUUCGCUUUGGAUCGGAUCUCGCCUGCGUUCUUUACGCCAGGCACUGCUGGGCUUUCUGUGAAGAUUCGACGCUUUUGGCCUCUCCUCUGUAAACAUACAUGUACACAAUUACAAAUCUGCAUUUGCAUCAAUGCGCAGCAAGCUCUUAUAUUAUCCCUAUUCCCAUUGAUGUAUCAUCACUAUCAACCAUGAGACUGUCAACCUUCCCAAACGUCCUUUAAGGUAGGUGGAUAUAUGGACAGAAAAUCGUCACAGUUUUUCGUUAAAUUUUUCUUCAACCAAUGCGAGUUACAGAUUUUAUACAACGGUUUGGCUAACGUGCAUAAGUUUUCUAUCAACGAAAGAAAGGCACUAUUGAAAAUUUGCAAUACGUCUACAACCUCUGGAUGUGUAAGACCUUGCGAUUUGUAAGCCUUCGUAUGAAUUUCGCCAAGGCUGCCAAAAAGAACCACUUGACUCGGAUAUCGCGAUUUUUACCCUCGCUGAUUCGUCGAUAUCGAACGACAUUGCACUCCUGGCAACGUGUAUUUAAUUUUUGAAAAAUGAAAACUAUCAAAAGUAUUCUAAAAAUUUUCUUGUUCCUGGUUUAUUUUUUAUAUAUUCCUAGUCUUUUACUCGUCUCGUCUCGUUUGACGUUGGCGUUUCGUUACCCGGGUAAACUAUAAUCGCAACUUCAACUUCCGUAUAGGCACUCUCUGCAGUUGAUACGCGCGGUUGCAAUCUCGGCUCAUAAUUAAUAAACCGAACAUAUAAUAAUGUGGUUACAGAUCGACGACAUAUGGCGAAAGUUGUACUAGAAAUGUAUACGUGGAAGGGCGUGCUCAAGAAUCAAUGAAAUAUAAGCGAAAUCAGCGGAUGCUCUCACGUACAGCUAUAGGCGAAUUGGAUCGUAAGAAGAAUUUCGCUAAUCUCGAGCAUGGGAGAUAUGGGAAACCGUGCGGUAACGACUUGAGAGAUAGGGGGGAAAAAUGAGAGAAGUAAGGAAAGAAAAAAUCGAGGAAAGUGGGCCAAAAUCGAUCCCACACAUCGGAAUAGAGAUUGUAGGUAUAUACGUAGUCGCUGAGAGCGGUUGAAAGGUGUAUAUGUAUACAUAAUAACGUAAAUCGGUUAUCGGAAUGUUUGAGAUAACAAUUUUGUUUGUUUUUGAAUUAGAGGCGAAUGUUCUUAAUGCGCAUACGAGCGAAAGCUUGAUUCUUUCGUCGUGUCGUUUUGACAAAUAUAAAUAAUUAAGCGAACUUGACCAGUUGGACAUACAAGGACGUUAUACAAACCGAAAGUCUGCACAUUUGGGAAACACGACGUAUACAGUAUACAAUAUGUGCAUAACACGAUGCGUGUAUCGUUCGUGUGUGCGUCGCGUAGGAAUUUAGCGAUAGUAUGAGGCAGCACUGGGAUGUGUAAAUAAAAUGAAGCUGUGUAGAACGCAGGUACAUAGAAUUUACGAUAAAUAAUACAUGAUUCGAGGAAUUUUAACGUUUCUUGCAACAAAUAGCGAAGGAACGAACGAGUUACAAAGUUCGUAAGCUGUCUGGCAUCCCCAAUAACAAAUCGAUAGUGGAAUGCGGGACAGAAUAAAAAAAAGCAGACCUUGCAUUCCUGAGGAGCUAAAUGGAAAUGUUUUACGAAGAGAGAAGACUUACCUGUUCGAUACACCUUAAUCGCAGUUCCCGUGCACCUCACACUUGGCAAUAGUGACAACCGACUGAUGUGUCGUGAAAACUUGCCCCCGGAGACUUGCUUGUAUUAUUUUUUCAUUGAGAAUUAUUAAAAUCGAAUGGUAUGCGGACAGACACACACAGCACAAGCUGUUUGACACGAGAAGUAAGUCGGGGACCCCACCACUUGUACGCAACUGGAAUGCAUGGUAUUCGUUCGAGGAGCCGACCUCUACCGGCAAAAUCGUCAAUUCUUUUGUCGUCUCGUUUCCCCGCACAACAAGCCGUCCAGCUCCUACGAUCCAUGCACUACACUCGGCCACUUUUACGUACGAAUUCUGCACACCCAUACAGACUUGUACUCAUGCGCAUACGUGUGAAUCCUUCAAAUGCACGUACAAGUAUAUCGAUGCAUUCAUAGUGCAUACGACGUUGCUUCGUAUUUGCCUACGCAACGUGCGUCAUGAAAGUUUAUUUGUCGCGUAUAUAUGCCGAACCAAGGAUUACAGACAAUAUGCAUCGGAAAUAAACCCACCCUGAUAUUCAUUAAGCCGAUACCACGCCUCUUCUUUACCGAUUGAAAUUAUCCUCAUUGCAGUUUUUCAAAUUACUUCUAAACUCGGACGUCGAAUCAAUUGUCCUACUACUGUUGUGUGGUUUAUGCAGUGUUGAAUUGACGAAUGUUGAAUGAAAACGACAAAAACUUGAUUUCAACAAAGUGUCUCUGUUGUAUUGCUUCCUGCGCAAAGAUGGCUACUUGUACUCUUCACCAAAGCGCACCGUUCGUAUAAUUCUUUGUGCAUUUAUAUUCUUACCCUUCGUGGACUGCAGUGAUUCACGUGGAAAUGCCAAACUUGACUUGUUAGUAUCUUACCAGAGGCGCGGAAAUAUCAUUUACUGACGAUACGCUAUUUUCAUUUACAAAGUUUUCGAAAAACUGUAAAUCUGCGAUUACCGACGGUUCAAAAUUCCCCGACGAGUGGAGUGUCGCCUUAAGGUUACUGUCAACACCUGCAGAAGUUUGAGCAUAGUCCGUGAUCAUGCGCGGGUCCAUUACGAAUUAUUUGACAUUUGUUAUAGCGUCUUCAACGUUUUUCAAUCUGUCGUGAAUUGUUCAAUUUAAAAAAUAAGCAAAUGAUAUGUAUGAUAUAAUAAGACCCAAAAAAUGUUUUUCGGAAAAACCAUUAGCUUGUAAUUUUAAGAUUGUCUCCAGUUAAUCCAGUAAACCGUGAUAAAUUAAAAUGCACUCAUAGAAAAACUGUAAAACAAUCUUGUGUCGAACUAAAUAAUUUUUUUUUUCCUCUUCACUGAUUGUGAGAAGUUUAUUUCACUUUAAUGAACAACACAAAACCAAAUGGACAACUUGUAGAGAAUAGCUGUAGCGGUGUGAAAUUUGU